Molecule: ribosomal RNA, 253 nt
Filed under: uncultured bacterium
Lineage: Bacteria
Description: partial 16S ribosomal RNA
Rfam family: Bacterial small subunit ribosomal RNA
Source: RNAcentral
GACAGAGGGUGCAAACGUUGUUCGGAAUUACUGGGCGUAAAGCGCACGUAGGCGGCUUUGUAAGUUAGAGGUGAAAGCCUGGGGCUCAACCCCAGAAUUGCCUUUAAGACUGCAUCGCUUGAAUCCAGGAGAGGUGAGUGGAAUUCCGAGUGUAGAGGUGAAAUUCGUAGAUAUUGGGAAGAACACCAGUGGCGAAGGCGGCUCACUGGUCCGGUACUGACGCUGAGGUGCGAAAGCGUGGGGAGCAAACAGG